RNAcentral lists this ribosomal RNA (252 nucleotides) under uncultured bacterium. RNAcentral describes it as "partial 16S ribosomal RNA". It matches the Rfam family "Bacterial small subunit ribosomal RNA", at positions 524 to 776 of the family's 1533-position model. The record is from RNAcentral.
UACUUAGGUCCCGAGCGUUGUCCGGAUUUAUUGGGUUUAAAGGGUGCGUAGGCGGACUGUCAAGUCAGCGGUAAAAUUGAGAGGCUCAACCUCUUCCCGCCGUUGAAACUGGUGGUCUUGAGUGGAUGAGAAGUACGCGGAAUGCGUGGUGUAGCGGUGAAAUGCAUAGAUAUCACGCAGAACUCCGAUUGCGAAGGCAGCGUACCGGCAUCCAACUGACGCUGAGGCACGAAAGCGUGGGUAUCGAACAGG